RNAcentral lists this ribosomal RNA (1268 nucleotides) under metagenome. RNAcentral describes it as "bacterial LSU rRNA". It matches the Rfam family "Bacterial large subunit ribosomal RNA", at positions 1620 to 2925 of the family's 2925-position model. The record is from RNAcentral.
CCUAAGCUCCAGGCUAUAAAAACCCGUACCGCAAACCGACACAGGUAUCCGGGAAGAGAAUUCUAAGGUGCUCGAGUGAAUCAUGGCUAAGGAACUCGGCAAAAUGGCCCUGUAACUUCGGGAGAAGGGGCGCUGGUAGCAAUAUCAGCCGCAGUGAAAAGGCCCAGGCGACUGUUUAACAAAAACACAUGGCUUUGCAAAAUCGAAAGAUGAAGUAUAAGGCCUGACACCUGCCCGGUGCUGGAAGGUUAAGAGGGGAUGUCAUCCGCAAGGAGAAGCAUUGAAUCGAAGCCCCAGUAAACGGCGGCCGUAACAAUAACGGUCCUAAGGUAGCGAAAUUCCUUGUCGGGUAAGUUCCGACCUGCACGAAUGGUGUAACGAUCUGGGCGCUGUCUCAGCCAUGAGCUCGGUGAAAUUGUGGUCCCGGUGAAGACGCCGGGUACCCGCAACGGGACGGAAAGACCCCAUGCACCUUCACUACAAUUUAACAUUGACAUUGGAUACAGGAUGUGUAGGAUAGGUGGGAGGCAUUGAAGCGGCGUCGCCAGGCGUCGUGGAGCCAACGUUGAAAUACCACCCUUUCUGUAUUCGGUGUCUAAUCCCGCCCAGCGGGAGACAUUGUUUGAUGGGUAGUUUGACUGGGGUGGUCGCCUCCAAAAAGGUAACGGAGGCUUUCAAAGGUAAGCUCAGUACGCUUGGUAACCGUACGGGGAGUGCAAUAGCAUAAGCUUGCUUGACUGUGAGGCAGACAAGCCGAGCAGGGUCGAAAGACGGAUAUAGUGAUCCGGUGGUUCUGCAUGGAAGGGCCAUCGCUCAAGGGAUAAAAGGUACGCUGGGGAUAACAGGCUGAUCUCCCCCAAGAGCUCAUAUCGACGGGGAGGUUUGGCACCUCGAUGUCGGCUCGUCACAUCCUGGGGCUGGAGAAGGUCCCAAGGGUUCGGCUGUUCGCCGAUUAAAGUGGCACGCGAGCUGGGUUCAGAACGUCGCGAGACAGUUCGGUCCCUAUCUGUUGUGGGCGUAGGAAUUUUGAGUGGGGCUGACCUUAGUACGAGAGGACCGGGUUGGACCAGCCUCUAGUGAAUCUGUUGUUCCGCCAGGGGCAUUGCAGAGUAGCUACGCUGGGGACAGAUAAGCGCUGAAAGCAUCUAAGUGCGAAACUGGCCACGAGAUGAGAGUUCCAUAUAGGACCGUAGGAGACUACUACGUCGAUAGGCUAUAGAUGUAAAGGUGGCGACACCACAGUCGAGUAGUACUAAUCAUCCGAAAAA